Molecule: ribosomal RNA, 481 nt
Filed under: uncultured bacterium
Lineage: Bacteria
Description: partial 16S ribosomal RNA
Rfam family: Bacterial small subunit ribosomal RNA
Source: RNAcentral
GAUGAACGCUAGCGGCAGGCCUAAUACAUGCAAGUCGAACGAGAUUAAGAGGCUUGCUUCUUAUGAAAGUGGCGCACGGGUGCGUAACGCGUAUGCAACCUACCUUAAUCAGGGGGAUAGCCCGAAGAAAUUCGGAUUAAGACCGCAUAAAAACACAGGAUAGCAUUAUCCAAUGUUCAAAUAUUUAUAGGAUUAAGAUGGGCAUGCGUGUCAUUAGCUAGUUGGCGGGGUAACGGCCCACCAAGGCGACGAUGACUAGGGGAUCUGAGAGGAUGACCCCCCACACUGGUACUGAGACACGGACCAGACUCCUACGGGAGGCAGCAGUAAGAAUAUUGGUCAAUGGAGGGAACUCUGAACCAGCCAUGCCGCGUGCAGGAAGACAGCCCUCUGGGUCGUAAACUGCUUUUAGUCGGGAAUAAACCUUUCUACGUGUAGGAAGCUGAAUGUACCGAAGGAAUAAGGAUCGGCUAACUCCGUG